Molecule: ribosomal RNA, 503 nt
Filed under: uncultured bacterium
Lineage: Bacteria
Description: bacterial SSU rRNA
Rfam family: Bacterial small subunit ribosomal RNA
Source: RNAcentral
GACGAACGCUGGCGGCGUGGAUUAGGCAUGCAAGUCGAACGGUAGGAUACCUUCGGGUAUCUGAGAGUGGCGAACGGGUGAGUAACACGUAGGUGAUCUACCCUCAAGAUUGGGACAACCCAGGGAAACUUGGGCUAAUACCGGAUGAAAGCAGCAGUGAUGUUGUUUGAAAGGUGGCGUAAGCUGCCGUUUGGGGAUGAGCCUGCGCUCUAUUAGUUAGUUGGCGGGGUAAAGGCCCACCAAGGCGAUGAUAGAUAGGCGGCCUUAACGGGUGGUCGCCCACACUGGGAUUGAGAUACGGCCCAGACUCCUACGGGAGGCAGCAGUCGAGAAUAGUCUACAAUGGUCGAAAGACUGAUAGUGCGACGCCGCGUGAACGAAGAAGCCCUUCGGGUGUAAAGUUCUUUUAUAUGUGAGCAGUGCUUCUUAUAUUAACAGUAUGGGGAGAGAGAUAUUAGCAUAUGAAUAAGCAACGGCUAACUCCGUGCCAGCAGCCGCGGUAA